RNAcentral lists this ribosomal RNA (162 nucleotides) under uncultured bacterium. RNAcentral describes it as "partial 16S ribosomal RNA". It matches the Rfam family "Bacterial small subunit ribosomal RNA", at positions 355 to 511 of the family's 1533-position model. The record is from RNAcentral.
UAGGGAAUCUUCCACAAUGGACGAAAGUCUGAUGGAGCAACGCCGCGUGAGUGAAGAAGGGUUUCGGCUCGUAAACUCUGUUGUUAAGAAGAACAUAUCUGAGAGUAACUGUUCAUACGUUGACGGUAUUUAACCAGAAAGUCACGGCUAACUACGUGCCAG